RNAcentral lists this ribosomal RNA (253 nucleotides) under uncultured bacterium. Its description in RNAcentral is "partial 16S ribosomal RNA". It matches the Rfam family "Bacterial small subunit ribosomal RNA", at positions 524 to 776 of the family's 1533-position model. The record is from RNAcentral.
UACGUAGGGAGCAAGCGUUGUCCGGAAUUAUUGGGCGUAAAGCGCACGUAGGCGGACCAUCAAGUCGGUUGUGAAAUCCCUCGGCUUAACCGAGGACGUGCAUUCGAAACUGAUGGCCUUGAGUACGAAAGAGGAUCGCGGAAUUCCCGGUGUAGAGGUGAAAUUCGUAGAUAUCGGGAGGAACACCAGUGGCGAAGGCGGCGAUCUGGGUCGAUACUGACGCUGAGGUGCGAAAGCGUGGGGAGCAAACAGG